This 253-nucleotide ribosomal RNA is filed under the name uncultured bacterium. RNAcentral describes it as "partial 16S ribosomal RNA". It matches the Rfam family "Bacterial small subunit ribosomal RNA", at positions 524 to 776 of the family's 1533-position model. The record is from RNAcentral.
UACGGAGGGUGCAAGCGUUAGUCGGAAUAACUGGACGUAAAGGGUGCGUAGGCGGGGACGUAAGUCAGACGUGAAAUUCCGGGGCUCAACCCCGGAGCUGCAUCUGAAACUGCGUUUCUAGAGGUAUGGCGGAGAAAAUGGAAUUCCACGUGUAGCGGUGAAAUGCGUAGAUAUGUGGAAGAACACCAGUGGCGAAGGCGGUUUUCUAGCUUAUACCUGACGCUGAGGCGCGAAAGCAAGGGGAUCAAACAGG